UCCCUGGUGGCUCAGAUGGUAAAGCGUCUGUCUACAAUGCAGGAGACCCGGGUUCGACCCCUGGGUUGGGAA
Molecule: transfer RNA, 72 nt
Filed under: Ovis aries (sheep)
Lineage: Eukaryota; Metazoa; Chordata; Mammalia; Artiodactyla; Bovidae
Rfam family: tRNA
About the family: Transfer RNA (tRNA) molecules are approximately 80 nucleotides in length. Their secondary structure includes four short double-helical elements and three loops (D, anti-codon, and T loops).
Source: Rfam by way of RNAcentral